This 353-nucleotide unclassified non-coding RNA is filed under the name soil metagenome. RNAcentral describes it as "partial contains 5.8S ribosomal RNA, internal transcribed spacer 2, and large subunit ribosomal RNA". The stretch from base 1 to 121 matches the Rfam family "5.8S ribosomal RNA", at positions 35 to 154 of the family's 154-position model. The record is from RNAcentral.
GAUGAAGAACGUAGCGAAAUGCGAUAAGUAAUGCGAAUUGCAGAAUUUCCGUGAGUCAUCGAAUCUUUGAACGCACAUUGCGCCCAUUGGUAUUCCGAUGGGCAUGCCUGUUCGAGCGUCAUUAUCUUCCCUCAAACCUCGGGUUUGGUGUUGGGCCGCGCUGGUUCCUUCGUGACCAACUGGCCUCAAAGACAAUGGCGGCGUCCGUGGGACCCUCGGUGCAACGAGCUUCUUAGGAGCACGCGUCGAGUUUCAAGGACCUUCCGGGCCGGACUCUCCUCAUGUUAUCACAAGGUUGACCUCGGAUCAGGUAGGGAUACCCGCUGAACUUAAGCAUAUCAAUAAGCGGAGGA